Molecule: ribosomal RNA, 546 nt
Filed under: uncultured bacterium
Lineage: Bacteria
Description: bacterial SSU rRNA
Rfam family: Bacterial small subunit ribosomal RNA
Source: RNAcentral
AAUAGAUACCCGGGUAGUCCACACCGUAAACGUUGGGCGCUAGGUGUGGGAUCCAUUCCACGGGUUCCGUGCCGUAGCUAACGCAUUAAGCGCCCCGCCUGGGGAGUACGGCCGCAAGGCUAAAACUCAAAGGAAUUGACGAGGGCCCGCACAAGCGGCGGAGCAUGCGGAUUAAUUCGAUGCAACGCGAAGAACCUUACCUGGGUUUGACAUACACCGGAAAGCAUCAGAGAUGGUGCCCCUUUUUGUCGGUGUACAGGUGGUGCAUGGCUGUCGUCAGCUCGUGUCGUGAGAUGUUGGGUUAAGUCCCGCAACGAGCGCAACCCUCGUCCUAUGUUGCCAGCACGCCCUACCAGUUCGGCUGGGGGUGGUGGGGACUCAUGGGAGACUGCCGGGGUCAACUCGGAGGAAGGUGGGGAUGACGUCAAGUCAUCAUGCCCCUUAUGUCCAGGGCUUCACGCAUGCUACAAUGGCCGGUACAGAGGGCUGCGAUCCCGGUGAGGGGGAGCGAAUCCCGUAAAAGCCGGUCUCAGUUCGGAUUGGGGU